RNAcentral lists this small RNA (147 nucleotides) under Callithrix jacchus (white-tufted-ear marmoset). Its description in RNAcentral is "Metazoan signal recognition particle RNA (ENSCJAG00000084634.1)". The record is from Rfam by way of RNAcentral. Lineage: Eukaryota; Metazoa; Chordata; Mammalia; Primates; Cebidae.
GCUGGGCAUGGUGGCGCAUGCCUGUAAUCCCAGUUACUCAGGAGGCUGAGGCAGGAGAAUUGCCUGAACCCAGGAGGUGGAGGUUGCAGUGAGCGGAGAUCACGCCACUGCACUCCAGCCUGGGUAACAAGCAAAACUCCGCCUCAA